RNAcentral lists this long non-coding RNA (470 nucleotides) under Gallus gallus (chicken). Its description in RNAcentral is "lncRNA (ENSGALG00010018572.1)". The record is from RNAcentral. Lineage: Eukaryota; Metazoa; Chordata; Aves; Galliformes; Phasianidae.
CUCCGCGGGGACGCCCUGCUGCGGCCCCGAGCCCUCUGGGGAGCCUCCUGCGUGGGACACGUUCUGUGCGUGGUGCUGCUGGUGCUGCCCGUGCGCUCCCUGGUCAGGCUCUACCUCCACCUGCUCACCGCACUGCUGCUCUGCGCGGGGCACCAGAGGGCCAGUGAUUUCGUCCGCCAUGAGCUGCAGCGUGGGUUCCAGGGUGCCGUGUACAGCGACGUGGCAGAGUUUGGCCGCUUCGCCACCGCCCUCGCAGGUGAGCUGGUAAGGGGGGGGGGGGGGGGGCUCCCAUUGAGCAUCCCAGCCCCCCCCUCAUCCAUGUCCCUGGCGUGGGGAAGGCAGCACCAGAAGAGUGGGAAGCGGCUGCAGGGCUGGGGAUGAGGCAGGGAACUCCUGCAGGUUCUCUGGGCCUGAGCGUUCUCCCCAUAGCGAGAAGUGGAAAGCAGACAUCGGGGGGAUUGAGCCUUCCU